Molecule: ribosomal RNA, 465 nt
Filed under: uncultured bacterium
Lineage: Bacteria
Description: bacterial SSU rRNA
Rfam family: Bacterial small subunit ribosomal RNA
Source: RNAcentral
GGGCCCGCACAAGCGGAGGAGCAUGUGGUUUAAUUCGAUGAUACGCGAGGAACCUUACCUGGGCUCGAACGUGUGAAGACGUGAGGGGAAACUUUCAUUCUAGCAAUAGCUUCAUACGAGGUGCUGCAUGGUUGUCGUCAGCUCGUGCCGUGAGGUGUCAGGUUAAGUCCUAUAACGAGCGCAACCCCUACUUUUAGUUGCCAGCAUGUCAUGAUGGGGACUCUAAAAGAACUGCCAGCGCAAGCUGUGAGGAAGGUGGGGAUGACGUCAAAUCAGCACGGCCCUUAUGUCCAGGGCUACACACGUGCUACAAUGGUCGAUACAGAGGGCAGCUACUUGGUGACAAGAUGCAAAUCUCGAAAAUCGAUCUCAGUUCGGAUCGGAGUCUGUAACUCGACUCCGUGAAGUUGGAUUCGCUAGUAAUCGCAUAUCAGCCAUGAUGCGGUGAAUACGUUCCCGGGCCUU